AACUACCUACGGGGCGCAGCAGUAGGGAAUCUUCCACAAUGGACGAAAGUCUGAUGGAGCAACGCCGCGUGAGUGAAGAAGGGUUUCGGCUCGUAAAGCUCUGUUGGUAGUGAAGAAAGAUAGAGGUAGUAACUGGCCUUUAUUUGACGGUAAUUACUUAGAAAGUCACGGCUAACUACGUGCCAGCAGCCGCGGUAAUACGUAGGUGGCAAGCGUUGCCCGGAUUUAUUGGGCGUACA
RNAcentral lists this ribosomal RNA (239 nucleotides) under uncultured bacterium. RNAcentral's name for it is "partial 16S ribosomal RNA". It matches the Rfam family "Bacterial small subunit ribosomal RNA", at positions 333 to 564 of the family's 1533-position model. The record is from RNAcentral.